RNAcentral lists this ribosomal RNA (496 nucleotides) under uncultured bacterium. Its description in RNAcentral is "partial 16S ribosomal RNA". It matches the Rfam family "Bacterial small subunit ribosomal RNA", at positions 29 to 507 of the family's 1533-position model. The record is from RNAcentral.
AUGAACGCUGGCGGCGUGCCUAAUCCCUGCAAGUCGCGCGAACGGACGAGAAGCUUGCUUUUCUGAUGUUAGCGGCGGACGGGUGAGUAACACGUGGAUAACCUACCUAUAAGACUGGGAUAACUUCGGGAAACCGGAGCUAAUAUCGGAUAAUAUUUUGAACCGCAUGGUUCAAAAGUGAAAGACGGUCUUGCUGUCACUUAUAGAUGGAUCCGCGCUGCAUUAGCUAGUUGGUAAGGUAACGGCUUACCAAGGCAACGAUGCAUAGCCGACCUGAGAGGGUGAUCGGCCACACUGGAACUGAGACACGGUCCAGACUCCUACGGGAGGCAGCAGUAGGGAAUCUUCCGCAAUGGGCGAAAGCCUGACGGAGCAACGCCGCGUGAGUGAUGAAGGUCUUCGGAUCGUAAAACUCUGUUAUUAGGGAAGAACAUAUGUGUAAGUAACUGUGCACAUCUUGACGGUACCUAAUCAGAAAGCCACGGCUAACUACGUG